This 459-nucleotide ribosomal RNA is filed under the name uncultured bacterium. RNAcentral's name for it is "partial 16S ribosomal RNA". It matches the Rfam family "Bacterial small subunit ribosomal RNA", at positions 338 to 795 of the family's 1533-position model. The record is from RNAcentral.
CCUACGGGGUGCAGCAGUGAGGAAUAUUCGUCAAUGGUAGAGAUCCUGAACCAGCCAAGCCGCGUGAGGGAAGACGGCCCUAUGGGUUGUAAACCUCUUUUGUCGGAGAACAAAACCCGGGACGUGUCCCGGACUGCGUGUAUCCGAAGAAACAGCCUCGGCAAACUCCGUUCCAGCAGCCGCAGUAAUCCGGAGGAUGCGAGCGUUAACCGGAUUUAUUGGGUUUAACGGGUCCGUAGGCGGUCCGUUAAGUCAGUGGUAAAAUUGCGGGGCUAAACCCCGUCGAGCCGUUGAAACUGGCAGACUUGAGUUGGCGAGAAGUACGCGGAAUGCGCGGUGUAGCGGUGAAAUGCAUAGAUAUCGCGAAGAACUCCGAUUGCGAAGGCAGCGUACCGGCGCCAGACUGACGCUGAGGCACGAAAGCGUGGGGAUCGAACAGGAUUAGAUACCCCAGUAGUC